This 555-nucleotide small RNA is filed under the name Pan troglodytes (chimpanzee). RNAcentral's name for it is "processed transcript". Lineage: Eukaryota; Metazoa; Chordata; Mammalia; Primates; Hominidae. The record is from RNAcentral.
GUUCAAAUGCUCAGCUGUUCUGGUGCCCGUUAUUUCCCCUAGGCAGCCAGUGACUGACUGGAGUCAGCAGAUUUCUGCAAAUGAGAAUAGCCUGGCAGUCCGUUCCACCCCUGCUGAAGAUGACUCCCUUUCAGGCACCUGCAAGAGAGACCUGCGUGGAAUGUCAGAAGACAGUCUAUCCAAUGGAGCGUCUCUUGGCCAACCAGCAGGUGUUUCACAUCAGCUGCUUCCGUUGCUCCUAUUGCAACAACAAACUCAGUCUAGGAACAUAUGCAUCUUUACAUGGAAGAAUCUAUUGUAAGCCUCACUUCAAUCAACUCUUUAAAUCUAAGGGCAACUAUGAUGAAGGCUUUGGGCACAGACCACACAAGGAUCUAUGGGCAAGCAAAAAUGAAAACGAAGAGAUUUUGGAGAGACCAGCCCAGCUUGCAAAUGCAAGGGAGACCCCUCACAGCCCAGGGGUAGAAGAUGCCCCUAUUGCUAAGGUGGGUGUCCUGGCUGCAAGUAUGGAAGCCAAGGCCUCCUCUCAGCAGGAGAAGGAAGACAAGCCAGCUG